Molecule: long non-coding RNA, 273 nt
Filed under: Bos taurus (domestic cattle)
Lineage: Eukaryota; Metazoa; Chordata; Mammalia; Artiodactyla; Bovidae
Description: long non-coding RNA NONBTAT015240
Source: RNAcentral
CUGUAACCCAUGUAAAGCACAGCCUCACCUCCUGUCUUUGUUAGGAUCUAGAUACUCCCUACUGGCUACUGGAGGAGAAAAUGCUGUAAGGGGCAAAGGGGAAACUAGGAAGUGGAUUUCAAUGGACCAUUAGUAUAUUUCCCACUUUAUAGUAAAUGUUUUUUUUUUUUUCUUUUUUACACAGUAAGAAAAAAUGAAGUUUCAUAAGUGGUUUGGAUUCUUAAAAUGUUUAUUAAUUUGGUAACAAUUAUAAAGAUUUUAUAAAGAAAUCUU